Molecule: non-coding RNA, 73 nt
Organism: Zalophus californianus (California sea lion)
Lineage: Eukaryota; Metazoa; Chordata; Mammalia; Carnivora; Otariidae
Source: the annotation of a RefSeq genome assembly
ACCUGGCUGGCUCAGUAGGUGGAGCAUGUGACUCCAGAUUUCAAGGUUGUGAGUUCGAGUCUCACGUUGGGUG